GUGCUUGCUUCGGCAGCACAUAUACAAAAAUUAGAACGAUACAGAGAAGAUUAGCAUGGCCCCUGCGCAAGAAUGAUACGCAAAUUUGUGAAGUGUUCCAUAUUAAA
Molecule: small nuclear RNA, 107 nt
Organism: Mustela putorius furo (domestic ferret)
Lineage: Eukaryota; Metazoa; Chordata; Mammalia; Carnivora; Mustelidae
Source: Ensembl